AAUGGUCCUACUGCUUCUGUGGUGGUGCUGCUGAGGAGUGGUGGGUCUCCUGGCAAAACCUGGAGCAGGAACCAUUUGGAGGCUGCAGGACUUCUUGCAUCUUCUCCUGUGCAGUGGCUGGGACUGGCUUCUCACACUCUUCUUCAUCUGGAUGCUGGAGAGGCUCCUGCACUGCCAACUGCUGUGGCUGUGCAACAGCUGUUACUUACAAAGCUAAUGAAAACCGUGAUUCACACAGUGAGCAGGCAAGUUCUCCAGAGAUUUCCUUCACUCUUAAUGGUUCUUGCAAUUUUCAGGACCUUAAGAGAGACAGCUGUCACUGCUGUCACUUUUGUGUCUCGUUUGUUUUUCACCUUGAAUAACUGAAGAAGAGUUAUUGCUAUCCUCAUUUCCACUGCUGAGGAGGAUACCAUAUCUUUGUCCAAGAAAAAUCCUUUGGUUGGUAUGCACUGCAGCCACACUGGAGCAAAUGGGGCAUCAGACAGCAGUGACCACUGACCACAAACAGCUGGUGAGUAUGGUGAAGAUGCUCUCACUCCUUCAUGAGUCUGUAGAAGAAGAAGAAUAGAUCAUCAUGUUUUAAGACAUCUCCCUGUGAUCCCGUCGCUCUCAAAAUCCCUACAGAUAUUUUCAGGAGACUCCAUAGGAAAUAAAGGGUAAUGGUGUUGCUGCAGCUCCUGGGAAUGCAACGGAGUGGAAAACUCUCUGGGGUGUGUUACUGAUAAGUAAAACUCUAAAAAAGGAAGGCCUUGUAAAAUUAUGGCUCAGGCCUGUUACUUCAGCGAAGUAGAAAAAGACUAUGGGACAGAGACUCAGCUGAGUAAGAGGUAGAAAAACCAGUUAUAUAACCAUUGCAUGUUCACACUAUGUGCAGGCUGGUUGAAUUACGUCUGUUAUGCUUUAAAACUGUGUAACUGCUAAUGGGCUAACUGCUUAUAAGGGCCUGGUUUUUGCAAUAAAGGGGUUAAUAAUAAAUAAUUAUAAUAAAUAAAUAAAAUAAAUAAAUCCUCUGCACCUGCCUGGGGACUCUGGGUCUCUGCAGACCCUCACCCACAGGGGUGUACAGCAGGCAGGGCAGGGCAGUUAUGUCUGCACCAUGCUCUGAUGCUCCAGAGCUGCAAGCAGCAGAGCCAUCCGUGGUGAUGCUUCACCCGUGCUGCUAAAAUCUGUGCAGCAAGGAGCCCUCAGAGGCUGCAUUGUUCUGUCACCUGCAUCCAGCACUUGGCACUUAGGUAUACUAUGGAAAUGCUAAUGUCAGGAGGGUUCAGUCAGUUCUGGUGUCCUCAGAAGCCUAGAGCCAUCGGGAUGAAAACAAAAGAUGGUGGGGUGUUCAUUCCCUUAGUGUUCAUCUCUAGUGAUAAGCUCUUCAAAAAGAAGCAUGAAGCUCCAGGCUACACCUGUCUUUUCUCUCCUUCACUUUUACGUUUUAUCUGUUCCCACUUGUGAGAUUAUUCUAGGUGAAUACCCUGUGACAAUGGCUCCCUGGCAGCUCCUUAACCACUGCAAGUCUGCAGUAAUCUGCAGGAUAGUGGUGUUUGGAGGGCGUGGAAACACAGCUGGAAAAAAGGUCUCUAAGUGGUCACCCCCAACAAGAUGUUUUGGGAUGCUCACAAGAAGCAAGAGGAGGGUUUGUUUCAUAUGGUGCCUUGGUAAAUUGCAUUCCACUACCACAUGUUGUAAACCUCUAGCAUCUAGUAUAUGAGUCCAAAAAAUAAACAACUGGGGAAACACAGGAGGAAGUGGGAAGCCCAAACGUAAAGAAUUUACUUUGGACUCUGGAAGUUUCAGAGCCCCAAACUGAGUUUGAGAGAUUAUGCAAAGAAAGUAUCUCUGCUUGUCUUCUUCCUAUCCAGGUAUCUGCAACUGCUGUGUAAGAUACUGGCUGGACGAGCAUUUGGCUAUCCUUGUGUUAACAUUUUCAUGCAAAAAGCUGCCUUUUAGUGACAAAAUCUACAAAAUUAAGGUGACAGCCUCUACACAGUGGGUUGUUUCUGUUUUCCCAAAGUAUUGAGAAUUUGAGCCAGAGGAGAGAGAAAAGCUGAGCUUUUCAUUGCCCUGCAUAUGUAAUUGCUGGGUAUAGUAACCUAAUGAAAAGAACCAGUGCAGGAGUUUAAAAGGAUUAGCAACCCUAAAUGCCAUUUACAGUGACCCAUGAAAUGCUGAGAACUCUGCACACAAUAACACCAUAACAGCAGUCUCUGGAUAUACUGGAGCAAACCUCUGGCCUGUCUGAGACCAAAUCCUGGAAAUUCCUGUGUGCUUAGUAAACAGGUCUGCUCACAACGUGCCGUCCUGCUUGUUCAUGGGGUGUUGGAGAUAGGGAGUGGUAGAUACUGAAGUCAUUAUAAAAUAACAUAAAAUAACAUACCUGGCAUUUGUGGGGGGGUGUGGGGGUGUGAUGUUGAUGCACAGAGUGCAUGCAGAAACUCCCCUUUCCCCAAGCAUCCAGGUGAGGGAAUGAGCCAUGGUCCAGUCCAAAUACACCAUGCAAUUGGUCUAGUUGCAUGUGUUGGUGGACUUUUGUGACCCUUACAAGCACAAAGCAGCCUUGCAUUCGGGGUCCUUGAAAAGCCACCAUCAGAUGGCUGAAGCAGUUUUGGACCCUCCUCAUAUAAAUACCAAAGUAGCAUGUGUGGAGAGGUCAGGACACAGAUAGUCUAUGCAACAUGCAAAGCUUCAAAUUUGCCUUAGUUUGGACAUGAGAGGAAGGGCCAAAUCCAGAAAAGUAGGUUUAGAAAUGUAACUGAACAAUUUUUUUCCAAAUUUGUAAUCUGCUGAUUUCAGAGUGGAGCAGUACACGAGGACACUCAACAUUCUCAACAAAGGGAUAGUGAUAGUGACACUGGGCUUGCAGCAUCAGGCUGAUACAUCCCUGCCCCUCUCUUGAGCCCUCUGCUGCCUUAGAGGGUUUGAUAGAGAAACUGGCAAAAGUCCUCCAGGCUGAAACAAAGAAGAGUUAAAAUGAAGGCACAGAGCAAACGAGCUGCUUUAUUUGUAUUAUAUUUUCUGUCUCUUAAGUAAUCCCAUCACUGCUUGCACAGAAGCAGCAGGCUGAGGUGUCAUUUUACCAGCGCAGAAGUGUGUGCAACAUCAGCUGUCACAGCAGAAUUAUUUUGUGGUUUCUUUGAGAUCACAGGCUCUUCAGUUCUCCCUCUGGUGGGCUGUGGGACCUGAGGACAGCAGGUGAUAUGAUGGGAAGGACAAAGAUCAAAGACAGCACUGAAACCUGCCCCCUGCCUCGAAGAGACCAGUUAUCCAAGCUGAGUGGGGCAUAUCCACAGCAUCCAUGAGGAGAGGUCACAGCAGCUCACAGCUGGAGCCUGAGUCAUCUCAGAAGCCAUUCAUUCAUCUGUUGCACUAUCUGUAAAUGAGCCCGAGAGGAGUCAGGAUAUAAAGCACCAGGCUGUGGAGGCUGCUAACACAGAACAGUGUGAGAAGAGCUCCUGUUGUGGGAGUCCUUCAGGGCUUUUACUUGGACAUCAUAACUGGAGGAAGAGAAGCUGAAUGCUUUGGUUGUGCUCUGCAAAAUAGGUAUUCUGAAGUCUAGUCCUGUCUCGGGAGGCAGCUUGAAGACCAGCUUCUUAAUCUUUGAAAGGUCAGACCAGUCUUAUGUGACUGUUUAUGUAAAUAAGAAGUUGACCAAAAGCUACUCAUCUUCAUGUACAGCAGGCAUGUGAGGCAAUGGGACUUGUUCAGCCGCUUGUCCAGUAUUUCUUGUGAAGUCAUUAUUGCAUUUCUCCUGCCUUCCACACUUGGGGCCAAAUGUUGCCUUGUUCCUGACUUGCAAAAUGAAAGGAAACAGAGGACACCAGGGGCAGGGAAAUGAGUCUUUGCUUGUUGGCCUGGUACAGAUCCACAGAGCAGGCUUUCUGCUGUAUCACAGUAAUGCUCAAGGAAGAUGGGAAUUGGGUCUGUUCCUGGCCCUGUCGCAGGCCCUGGGGACUCAUUUCCUGGAGGCCUGGGAACUCAUGGGUUCACCUUUCUCUAGAGGAGGUAGCAAAGGUGCCAGUCACUGCAUGCUCUGUGUGAGCAAUAUCCUCAUGAAGUGAAGGCACCCAGAUCCCCUUUCUGGCACCUCGCUCUACUGGAGAGAGGCUUGCAGGCUGCCCUGCUGUGUUUACAGCCUCCCUCACUGUCCAGCUUCCAAGCCUUCCUGUAUCCCCUCCUGAAAAGAACUUUGAUUAUCUCAGAAAACCAUGGGCAGGGCAUGUACAAAGGCUUGUAGUUUAAAAGCAUGUGCUAGAACAAGCGGCAAACUGUCGGGGAAGGAGAAAGCG
Molecule: long non-coding RNA, 4277 nt
Organism: Parus major (Great Tit)
Lineage: Eukaryota; Metazoa; Chordata; Aves; Passeriformes; Paridae
Exons: 7
Source: RefSeq, a predicted model, not a curated record